Molecule: unclassified non-coding RNA, 25 nt
Filed under: Dictyostelium discoideum
Lineage: Eukaryota; Evosea; Eumycetozoa; Dictyosteliales; Dictyosteliaceae
Source: RNAcentral
UGAACGUGUAAGAAAGCUAGCCAAG